CUCAGGGUGAUAUUCCUUCUUAAAUGUCUUCUUCAAAAUACUUCUGAUGCUGUUAAACUGAUAAAAAUCAAAUCAGUCUUCUGGAGGACUUAGUAGUGCCUUUUAUUUAUUUAUUUUUAUUUUAUUUUAUUUUUUUCAGAAGCAGAAGUAGAGAUGUAAUACUGCUGCAAAGAGAACGACUUCCCCCCAGGAGGUAUCUGGCAAAUGGACCUCUCUGACAUGACUUGCACACAGUUGCACCAAAGCUCCAGCUGCUCAACACAGGCUUGGAGGACAAUUGGUGGCAGCUGGUCGAUGCUGCUAUGAACCCUACCAGCACCCUGGAAGGCUCCUGGCAGUUCACGGGAGAAAUGGAUUGUUCCUACCUAAUUAUCUUGGAAAAUGGCAAAAAAAUAAGGAAGCAAAGAAAAUGGAGCUUGAAAAUUUUCAAAGAAGGGAAUGGUCUUUAUCCCUGAUUAUCUUCGUGUGUCCAUGGGUUUGGGAACCUGGAUCUCUCAAAAGUAGGAAGAUUAACAGAAUACAUGUUUUUCCCUUUGUCAUCAUCUGUAGAGUUAGUUCUGUUAGGAGAAGUAAUCCAGUAAGAGCAGUAAUCCAAAACAGUUCGAUUAAUGAUGGAUUCUCGGUAUUUAUACAAUAUUUCUGGUUCACUAUAUUUUACUCAUCAGCCUGUGCUCCUUUAAGAGCCAUCAGAAAUCUUCCCAGUGCUAUUAAGUGCCUACUUUUGAAUUUGUACUUAUGUCUUAGUGAAGAGAUAAAAAAAAAAAAAAGGAUCCUAUUAAUUUGUCUAGACUGUUCUAAUGUAAAACGAAUGAUUUGAGUGAAAAUGAAGCUGUCUCACCAAAUGAGUUUUUAUCCAUUUUCAGCUAAUACCAAAAGCUAAAUAUGAACCUCAGUGCUCAGGGACUCUGUGAUUUGUGACUCUGAGUCUGUAAGCCAACAAAUGGAUUAAAAUGAAAUAUAAAUAUUGAGAAUCACAGGAGUCACUUUAUCCAUUAGGAAAAGAACAUCUUUGUUACUAUCCAUAGUGGAAAAAGCUUGACUUCUGAUCAUCCUGCUGCUAGUAUCUCUGGUGUCUUCAGAAGAGCAUCCCUGUGAACAGAGUCAGACCCUUGGAGAAAUGUGAGGGAUUGCCUCAAAAUGCAAUGCUCUUUAAUUCUUCUGCUCUUCUGUGGUUUGUUUUGUUUGUUUGUUUGCUUAGGUUUGUUUUAUUUUGUUUUUCCUCUCUUCAAGAUAUUCUCAACUCAUCUGCCUAUGAUGACUGCAACUGUGAUAAUGUUCUGUAAAACACAGAGGUCCCUAAUCAUUUAGAUCUUGACUUAGGUUUGCUUAUCAAGGCCAAGACAUUAAACUCAUCCCCCUCCCCCAAACAAAACAAACAGACAAACAAACAAACAAAAACAGGCACAGCUAAUUUUUGAUAUGUUUGUGUUUGGUGUCCUAGUAAGAUUCUUUGGUUUGAAAGGGAAUUGUCCCUUUUUUCAGUAAUUAGGUCCCAAGAUGAUUCACACCAUUCUGUUUUGCAGAAUACAUUGCAUUAUUACCACUUGGAAGACAGCAAAGCCCUGCACUAUGGACAGAGUCCUCUAAGCAAAUGGAAAUGCUUGCAUUUUUCUGGAUGGAGCCGCUGAACAGAGCUUUCUCUGACAGUACCACGGAGCACUUCAUUGCCUAGGAAUUGAUAGGACAAAACUUUUUACCUUCAUUAAGACGAUCUCUGCUUCUAAAGCCUUAUUUUUUACUUGUGAAGCAAUGUCUUUCCAUCAGAACAAGGGAGCACUGAACAACACAGAAACAACACAACAGACUUAUUCAAGAAGAUGUCUCCAGACACCCUUUAGACAGGGAUUGCUCGUCGCAACCAAAUUCAGUACAAGCAGUGUGAUUGUUUUCAUCUCAGAGGGGCAAAGGUCUCUUACCUGUGACUAUGAUGCAUGCUUCAGAGAAGGGAGGGAGAUUAGACAUGCCCUUGCUAAUUCCAUUCCUAUUGCCUAGCUCAAGGCAGCCCUUAACCAGUUUGUACAUUGCACUUCAGUGGCAUCAAACUCUCCCUGCUGAUGAGAGGAAGAGGCUGAGGACCUCCUCCAGAUUCUCUGAGUCACUUUGAUUUCCCAGGCUGUAGUUGCCAAGUAAAUACCCUGUUGAUGAACAGAAAGAAAAGCUGGUAACCCAAUGAAAAUGGGAUUCCUUUGCUCUGCAUUACCCCCAAAGAGUUUUAUGACCAGGAAGCAAAGUAUGGUCCUGGUGUGGAUUCAAAUAAUAGGUCUUUAGAAAAUUCACUGUAGUGAUUAACGUCAGUAGAAUCCCUUUGUAUGAAAGGAGGGGAAGAGAUGUCAUCCUGGGGGUUUCUGGAUUUUCCACACAUCCCAGUCACAACUGAGACAUAGAGAGACUUAGUGCCCUUAGAGAGGACACUCCCAAACUACAUGGCAUUGUAAGCUGGAAAGGAGGAGGAAUAAAUAAAUAAACAAACCUACA
This 2475-nucleotide long non-coding RNA is filed under the name Anas platyrhynchos platyrhynchos (common mallard). Its description in RNAcentral is "lncRNA (ENSAPLG00000027346.1)". Lineage: Eukaryota; Metazoa; Chordata; Aves; Anseriformes; Anatidae. The record is from RNAcentral.